RNAcentral lists this long non-coding RNA (1438 nucleotides) under Salmo salar (Atlantic salmon). Its description in RNAcentral is "lncRNA (ENSSSAG00000120481.1)". Lineage: Eukaryota; Metazoa; Chordata; Actinopteri; Salmoniformes; Salmonidae. The record is from RNAcentral.
GCCUUGGGUGGAGAGGAGGAGGAGGAGGAGGAGGGGGGGGCUACUCGCUCGGAGGAGAAAGCAAAAGCAUAAUCUGAAUUCAUUUACACCUAUUUACAUGGACACCUUGAGCCAAUAGAAAUGAUUUCCAUUUGAAGACAGAGCGAAGGGGUGAAAAGGCCCAGCGACCCACCGGAUUUGAAGUGUGAGGGUGGGUGAUGAAAGCCCGGUUACGCCGUGUGAAGGACAGGGAAAACAGGGGCCACGUAGCGGGGAGACAGGGAAGGAGAGGGGCUAGUGUCUCCUGCAACAGGGGGCUAUCAUUCAAUAAGACAGGACCUCCACACCUCUUCAUCCUGCAGCAGCUCACUGAUCCCAUAUGGAACAGAAGAGAAACAGCUGGCCGAGAGAGAGAUGGCUGAUCUAACAUUAGGCUGCUACCUGCAGGCAGACCUGUGUUUGUGUUACCAAGCGAGACAGACAGUGGCCAGCGUUCCAAAUGGCACCCAUGCUGGUGGUCGCAGCAAGAGGAGGGGGCAGUAAAUACCACCAGCGUUGUACAGGAGAAGAGGAGGGAGGCACUUCACGGGAACAGCCACAGGAACAGCCACAGGAACAGCAACAAGGUCAUUCACAGAUGGGGGGGGCUAUUUGAUGCUUCUCACAAAGAGGUGUAUAUUAAAAAAAAAUUCUAAGGUUAAAUUAUUUAGUUGUAUUUUGUUUGUUUUAUUAUAAAUGUACAUAUUUCCUCAACUACUGUACCUCAACUACCUCGGUACCCCUGCACAUCGACUCCCCUGGCACAUCGACUCGGUACCCCUGCACAUCGACUCAGUACCCCGGCACAUCGACUCUGUACCCCGGCACAUCGACUCUGUACCCCGGCACAUCGACUCGGUACCCCUGCACAUCGACUCCCCUGGCACAUCGACUCGGUACCCCUGCACAUCGACUCGGUACCCCGGCACAUCGACUCUGUACCCCGGCACAUCGACUCAGUACCCCGGCACAUCGACUCGGUACCCCGGCACAUCGACUCGGUACCCCUGCACAUCGACUCAGUACCCCUGCACAUCGACUCGGUACCCCUGCACAUCGACUCUGUACCCCUGCACAUUGACUCUGUACCCCGGCACAUCGACUCUGUACCCCGGCACAUUGACUCUGUACCCCGGCACAUUGACUCAGUACCCCGGCACAUUGACUCAGUACCCCGGCAGAUUGACUCAGUACCCCGGCACAUUGACUCGGUAACCCUGUACAUUGACUCAGUACCCUGGCACAUUGACUCAGUACCCCGGCACAUUGACUCAGUACCCCGGCACAUUGACUCAGUACCCCGGCACAUCGACUCUGUACCCCGGCACAUUGACUCUGUACCCCGGCACAUUGACUCGGUAACCCUGUACAUUGACUCAGUACCCCGGCACAUUGACUCAGAACCCCGGCACAUUGACUC